AGCAUAAAUGGUACGCUGCCACUUUAAGGUCUAUUUCGGCUGCUGCAUAUAAGCAGGUAUCCACCCGCCACGAAGUUGCUUGCGUCAUGACGUCGUAUCAUUUUGGUUCCUGUGUCUGCUGAACUGUGCUGGGUGAGCGUGGCUGUUUCUUUGUUUGUUAGCUUUAAUCUUAGUUAUUAAUGUAGUUUGGUCUGCUCUGUUUAGCUUCUUUCGUUGCUCCUCCAAAACCUGGACUGAUCUGUUUGUGUUAGCUUGGUGCUGGGAAGGUAAGGGCUAGCGUGGCUAGAUAACAUCCACCCCAUAUAAAUAAAGCCUUCACACAGCAUUUUGUUACAGCUGCGCUGCAUAGGCGGAAUUGUGACUCCGUUUAUUUGGCAGCCUGGUAAUGAAACAGCUUCCUGAUGAGUCUUUGACCACCAUAAUACUGGAUUUGACACUCGCUGCUGUUUUGCCUAUAAAGAACUGUUUCGCCUAAAGAAAUUCUUAAAAGGACCUAUCUGGACUUUCCCCCUGCUGCCAGGAGCAUUGAUGACACUACCAUCCGGGAAAAAGUGCAAUAUUGUAGUGCUAUUGUACCACUGUUUUACUCAUAUUGUUUCAUUUUUGCCUUCCUUUUAGGGACUGAGGCUUCUGUGGUGGCGGUGGUGAUCCCUGGUGGCGGUGUCUUGUUUUGUGUGUUUUGUUGGUGGAGCACCUUCUUUUUUUUGUUUGCCGUGUUUUUGUAGUGUCCAGGGUGAUCCCUUUUCUUCACUGGACGUUGCCCCUUUUCUCACCACUCUCCCCCCCCCCCACUGGUAAGCCUCAGUUUCCUUUUGAAAUUUAAAAUAUUUUAUAAUCAAUUUAAAUAAAAAUGCAUUCACUGUUUUAACCAUUCAAUUGCUGAUUAUUGUGAUUCUUUUUAAACAAAAGAUGUGUAGUGUUUAAUAAACUUUUGUAAAACUAUUUGAAUCCUGUCUCAUUUCCAGUAGAACUUACCUGUGUCCUUACUAUUUUAUUUUCCUGGAGUUAUUCCAGGUGGCGUUGUCGGUAUCCCAUAUUAACUUUAACAUCUUACAUUUGGGUUUCAUAAAAAAAA
Molecule: long non-coding RNA, 1075 nt
Organism: Fundulus heteroclitus (mummichog)
Lineage: Eukaryota; Metazoa; Chordata; Actinopteri; Cyprinodontiformes; Fundulidae
Exons: 2
Source: RefSeq, a predicted model, not a curated record